RNAcentral lists this ribosomal RNA (465 nucleotides) under Vreelandella stevensii. RNAcentral describes it as "partial 16S ribosomal RNA". It matches the Rfam family "Bacterial small subunit ribosomal RNA", at positions 338 to 795 of the family's 1533-position model. Lineage: Bacteria; Pseudomonadati; Pseudomonadota; Gammaproteobacteria; Oceanospirillales; Halomonadaceae. The record is from RNAcentral.
CCUACGGGGGGCAGCAGUGGGGAAUAUUGGACAAUGGGGGCAACCCUGAUCCAGCCAUGCCGCGUGUGUGAAGAAGGCCCUCGGGUUGUAAAGCACUUUCAGUGAGGAAGAACGCCUGGUGGUUAAUACCCAUCAGGAAAGACAUCACUCACAGAAGAAGCACCGGCUAACUCCGUGCCAGCAGCCGCGGUAAUACGGAGGGUGCGAGCGUUAAUCGGAAUUACUGGGCGUAAAGCGCGCGUAGGUGGCUUGAUAAGCCGGUUGUGAAAGCCCCGGGCUCAACCUGGGAACGGCAUCCGGAACUGUCAAGCUAGAGUGCAGGAGAGGAAGGUAGAAUUCCCGGUGUAGCGGUGAAAUGCGUAGAGAUCGGGAGGAAUACCAGUGGCGAAGGCGGCCUUCUGGACUGACUCUGACACUGAGGUGCGAAAGCGUGGGUAGCAAACAGGAUUAGAUACCCCAGUAGUC